RNAcentral lists this ribosomal RNA (418 nucleotides) under uncultured Oscillospiraceae bacterium. RNAcentral's name for it is "bacterial SSU rRNA". It matches the Rfam family "Bacterial small subunit ribosomal RNA", at positions 355 to 788 of the family's 1533-position model. Lineage: Bacteria; Bacillati; Bacillota; Clostridia; Eubacteriales; Oscillospiraceae. The record is from RNAcentral.
UGGGGAAUAUUGGGCAAUGGGGGAAACCCUGACCCAGCAACGCCGCGUGAAGGAAGAAGGCUUUCGGGUUGUAAACUUCUUUUACCAGGGACGAAGAAAGUGACGGUACCUGGAGAAAAAGCCACGGCUAACUACGUGCCAGCAGCCGCGGUAAUACGGAGGAUGCGAGCGUUAUCCGGAUUUAUUGGGUUUAAAGGGUGCGUAGGCGGCGCGUCAAGCCGGUGGUAAAAUUGCGGGGCUCAACCCCGUAGAGCCAUCGGAACUGGCGUGCUUGAGUGGAGAAGAAGUAUGCGGAAUGCGAGGUGUAGCGGUGAAAUGCAUAGAUAUCGCGCAGAACUCCGAUUGCGAAGGCAGCGUACUAUUCUCCAACUGACGCUGAGGCACGAAAGCGUGGGGAUCGAACAGGAUUAGAUACCCU